UCUCGUUUUCUGAUUGGGCCAUCCUACCCGCUCUCCUCUCCCUAUUCGUCCAACUCCCCCCUUUUUCUCUCCUGUUCCCUCUUCUUUUUCCUCGUUUUCUUCUUUUCUUCUUUCCGUUUUUUUUUUUUUGGUUUUUUUUUCUUUUUAUUAUUACUAAAAUAAUUUAAAUAGUAUUUCAUUCCAAUUACUUUCGAGUUAGUAACUCAGUAAAACUUUAAAAAUAACUCCAAAUUCAUUUCUACUUGUGCCUACACGUCCGUAAGAUCGAGCUCUAUCCAAAUAUGUCAAGAAACAUGAUAAAAUAUAUGAGAAUCACAAACAUCCUCGAAACACGCUUUGCCCCUAGGGCAUUUCCGUAAGUUCACGAAUUUAAAAUUAUAAAAACCAUACUUUUAGGAACGGGCUGUGACAAAAAAAAUUAUAAUAAUUAAUUUACAUGUGUGAAAAUUAUGAAAAAAAUAUGCAAACGCUCAUAGUCGCAUCCUCUACGCUUUGAGGAUGGGUAUAUGAUCGUUUGAAAUUUUAAAACCAUACAAACUCUCAUGAAUAGUAUUUUUAAGGGAGUUCAAAAUAAAGAAAAUUCAUAAUCAUUAAUGUAUAAGUUUGAAAGAUAUGAAAGAAUAACAAACGUUUAUAAUUGCAUCAUAAACGCUUAGAUGAUAGUUACAUGGUUGUUUAGAUUUUUAAAACCCUCCAAAUCUCACGAACAAUGUUUUUUAUUUGAGUGCAAAAUUAAUAAAGUAAUAAUAAUUAUUGUUCAAGUGUGAAAAAUGUAAUCACUCGUAAUGAAAAGCUUUACAACUUUUAUGAAUGGGUCAACUCCGAAAUUUAGUAUGUAUAUAGUAAUUUAGUAUUAUGUUUUACAUUUUUUUGGGGUCAAAUUAUGUUUUUCAUUUUCAUUUUUAUUGAUUUAAAAUAUAUUUUUCUUAAUAGGUAACGGGUCGGGUCAUAUUAUCUGAUAAUAUUAACAGGUUGAUUUCAGGUCGGGUCAUAUUACCCGUUUACUUUAAUGGGUAUUACAUGACACGACCCGUUAAGCUAUCAGAUAUAAUACGAAAACAACACGAAGACGAGAAACACGACACGAAUGCCAGGUCUACCUUGGAGGCAUCUGAGGCCGAGAAGGAGUAUGACGAGUCCGAUUUGGCCAACCUUCAGAAGGAAAAAGAUGAGGAAAGGGCGCUGAAGGAGCUAGGGAGAAUUUGAGCUCUUCCUUCAUUCUACAAUUUUUUUUCUUCAUUUCACAUCUGAGUACUUGAGUAAAAUAGUUCAAAAUGAAAUGGGGAUCUAUUUUAAAUUUCAAUAGUUGCUUCCACCAAACGACAUGUGUCUCGUAUACACAUGUGUCUCGUAUACAUGGCUUACACACGAGAAGGUACGUGAACUAAUGAAUCUCAUGUAUAAUCAUUACCAUUUAUGGUAUUUUGGUCAUUAGUUGAAAGUUUGGCAAUUGCCAAAUAUGACGAUGAAGCACACCAUAGUUGAAAGUUUGGCAACAAGUAUUGAGUAAAAUGAGGAUAAUAUGGAAAAGUAAAGAAGAUUUCCACUCUGAGUUGGAAACGCGUUGCCAAGAUUGAGUCUCACUCUAUAGAAAUGGUUUGCACGAAUUUUCCGCCUCUCGGUCAACCUAAAGAAUUGUUAAAAGUUACUCGUGGAAUCAUAUUGCAUGCCCAUCAGUCAAGGACCAAAGGCUGGCUAAGUGAAUGGUGUAGAAUGUGUCUUCUCUUGCAAGAAAGUAUAAGAGAUGUGCUCAGGUUGGUGAUAGGAUUAAAAGCACACCACAAAGUAGCACACAAAUGUCCUAUUGAUUUUCCUUAUUAACACUAAGAUUUGUCAAUUAUAGCAUAUGAAAAUAAGGGUCUUUCCCGCAGAAGAUUGUUUUAUCUAACUACCUAAAAUGUCACAAAAACUGGGUUGCUGUCCCUACUGACCAGCCACCGAAAAAUAAUUAUUAAACUGACUUAUACACAUCUAAAGUCUACGAAAUUUUAUAUGUAGAUACUAGACACAAAAAGCUACACUCACACAAAUUUUUGGGAUUUUUGGAGUUGAUUUUCUAUUUAAAUUAAAUCGAACAAAAACAGGAUAGAAACAAAUUUUAAGUAGUUCACAAAUUAAGAAAAACGAGUUAAGGGUAUUGCUAUCCACCACCAAAUAAUCAUGCAAACAUGUUAUGUUUCAUUCAAAUUUCUUUUAUUUCCGGAUGAAGAUGCUCAAGUUGGCUCAAUGUUAGAACUCAACCUAUUACUCUUUCUUACGUAGUAUGUUAAGAGAAUGGCGUUUUCAACUUAACUUAGUCCCUAACAUGCAAUCUAGAAUGGCGUGUUCAUAGAUUUAACAAGUAGAAAUCAUUAAGAACGAAAAGAGUUUGAGUCA
RNAcentral lists this long non-coding RNA (2376 nucleotides) under Malus domestica (apple). Its description in RNAcentral is "long non-coding RNA (MDOM_LNC015701)". Lineage: Eukaryota; Viridiplantae; Streptophyta; Magnoliopsida; Rosales; Rosaceae. The record is from RNAcentral.